This 325-nucleotide long non-coding RNA is filed under the name Numida meleagris (helmeted guineafowl). Its description in RNAcentral is "lncRNA (ENSNMEG00000022262.1)". Lineage: Eukaryota; Metazoa; Chordata; Aves; Galliformes; Numididae. The record is from RNAcentral.
AUCACCUCUUUGCCGUGUUUUCCACAAAAUUCUGUAACAACAAGAAAGUGCAGUGAACACCUUCCGCGCUGCUGUGAGCAUGACUUCUAGCCUCCAGAUCUCACCCUCCCUCGUGUUGUCUGGAUAUCAGGUUUUUCAACCCCCAGUCCUUCCUCACAGGAGCAGGUAAGUUUUACCUGAAGACAUACUCCAGGGGAAAGAUGAGCAGAGCUCAAUCCAGCAGGAUCUACAGCUCAACAGAUAAAAGCUUUUCUGCUCUAAGUGAUCAGCUCUGAGAAGCACUACUGAAGUAGUGCUAAUAAAAGGCAUCAGUGCAAUGCUUUCA